This is a ribosomal RNA of Lepisosteus oculatus (spotted gar), 119 nucleotides long. The record is from Ensembl. Lineage: Eukaryota; Metazoa; Chordata; Actinopteri; Semionotiformes; Lepisosteidae.
AUAUGCAGCCAUAUCACCCUGCAACUCACAACUAGCAACCCACUGAAGCUAAGCAGGUGUGAGCCUGGUCAGUGCCUGGAUGGGAGACCUCCUGGGAAAAACUAAGGUUGCUGCUGGAA